CGUAAACAAAGGGAAGCGAAGCGGUGACGCCUGGCAAAUCCCAAAAAUAACGUCCCAGUUCGGAUUGUAGCCUGCAACCCGACUACAUGAAGCUGGAAUCGCUAGUAAUCGCGAAUCAGAAUGUCGCGGUGAAUACGUUCCCGGGUCUUGUACACACCGCCCGUCACACCAUGGGAGUCGGAAAUGCCCGAAGUCAGUGACCCAACCGCAAGGGAGGGAGCUGCCGAAGGUGGAGCCGGUAACUGGGGUGAAGUCGUAACAAGGUAUC
This 268-nucleotide ribosomal RNA is filed under the name uncultured bacterium. RNAcentral describes it as "partial 16S ribosomal RNA". It matches the Rfam family "Bacterial small subunit ribosomal RNA", at positions 1234 to 1500 of the family's 1533-position model. The record is from RNAcentral.